ACUCUCGGCAACGGAUAUCUCGGCUCUCGUGAUCGAUGAAGAACGAAAUAAAUGCGAUACUUGGUGUGAAUUGCAGAAUCCCGUGAACCAUCGAAGUCUUUGAACGCAAGUUGCGCCCCAAGCCUUCGGCCGAGGGCACGCCUGCCUGGUGUCAUAAAUCGUCGUCCUCCCAUCCUCUCGAGGAUAUCGGACGGAAGCUGGUCUCCCCGUGUUACCGCACACGCGGUUGGCCAAAAUCCGAGCUAAGGAUGCCAGGAGCGCCUUGACACGCGGUGGUGAAUUCAAUUUCGUCAAAUCGUCGGUCGUUUUCGGUCCGAAGCUCUUGAUAACCCAAAGUCCUCAACGCGACCCCAGGUCAGGCGGGAUCACCCGCUGAGUUUAAGCAUAUCAAUAAGCCGGAGGAAAAGAAACUAACAAGGAUUCCCUUAGUAACGGCGAGCUUAAACGGGAAGAGCCCAGCUUUGAAAAUCGGACGCCUUCGGCGCUCAAUUGUAGUCCGAGAAGCGCCCCUCAGCGACGGACCGGCCCAAGUUCCCUGGAAAGGGGGCCAGAGAGGGUGAGAGCCCCGUCGUGCCCGGACCCUGUCGCACCAAUGGCGCUGUCUACGAAGUCAGGUUGUUUGGGAAUGCAGCCCCAAUCAAGGCGGUAAAUUCCGUCCCAAGGCUAAAUAUGGGCGAGACCGAGCCGAACAAGUACCGCGAGGUAAAGAUGAAAAGGACUUUGAAAAGAGAGUCAAAGAGUGCUUGAAAUUGUCGGAGGGAAGCGGAUGGGGGCCGGCGAUGCGUCCCCGGCCGGAUGCGAACGGAGCAAUCCGUCCGCCCGAUCGAUUCGGGGUGGACCGACGCGGAUUAAGGUGGUGACCUAAGCCCGGCUUUUGUUACGCCAGCGGAGACGCCGCUGCCUUAAUCGUGGUCCGCAGCACGCGCCCACGCGGCGUGUCUCGGCAUCCGCGCGUUCGCGUCGGCCUGGGGUUCUAUUCGACCCGCCUUGAAACACGGACCAAGGAGUCUGACAUGUAAUGCGAAGUCAACGGGUGAGUAAACCCGUAAGGCAUAAGGAAGCUGAUUGGCUGGAUCCCUCACGGUGCACAGCCGACCGACCUUGAUUUUCCGAGAAGGGUUCGAGUGUGAGCAUGACUGCCGGGACCCGAAAGAUGGUGAACUAUGCCUGAGCGGGCUAAGCCAGAGGAAACUCUGGUGGAGGCCCGCAGCGAUACCGACGCGGCAAAUCGUUCGUCUGACUUGGGUAUAGCUUAAAGACUAAUCGAACCAUCUAGUAGCUGGUUCCUCGAAGUUUCCCUCGGGAUAGCUGGAGCUCGGAAACGAAGUUCUAUCGGGUAAAGCCAAUGAUUAGAGGUAUCGGGGACGCAACGCCCUCGACCUAUUCUCAAACUUUAAAUAGGUAGGACGGGUGGCUGCUUUGUUGAGCCAUCCCACGGAAUCGAGAGCUCCAAGUGGGCCAUUUUUGGUAAGCAGAACUGGCGAUCGCGGGAUGAACCGAAGCCGGGUUCGGUGCCCAACUGCGCUGGCUAACCUAGAACCCACAAAGGGUGUUGGUCGAUUAAGACAGCAGGACGGUGGUCAUGGAAGUCGAAAUCCGCUAAGGAGUGUGUAACAACUCACCCGAAUCAACUAGCCCCGAAAAUGGAUGGCUGAAGCGCGACCUAUACCGGCCGUCGGGCAAAGAGCCAGGCCUCGAUGAGUAGGAGGGAUGGCGGCGGUCGCUGCAAAACCUAGGGCGCGAGCCCGGGCGGAGCAGCCGUCGGUGCAGAUCUUGGUGGUAGUAGCAAAUAUUCAAAUGAGUGUUAUGAACAUUGUGGAUUGCCAUUAACCAAGACAAGAAGAGAUGGCCCAUCAGGGCACGACCAGGCCCAGCCACGACCAGGCCCAACCAUAACCGUCCGUGUCCAAGAGGAGAGAGAGACGACGGCUGAGGAGAGAGAGUCGGCCUAUCCUUUGGCCGACCUUAGAUCUAGGAAGUUUCCAUUUAUCUCUUAUGAUUAUCUUUAAGAAGUUUUCCUAUUUCAUGUUGUAUUAGGUUUUGGAUAAUUUCCUUUUUCCUAUUCCUUGUAAUCCCUAUAUAAGGGAACACUUUGAUUGAGUAAUAAGAAUACAGAGACACACGAAAUAUUCAGCCUCAAAACCCUUUGUUCACAACACGUUAUCAGCACGAUAGUCUCUAGACCCUGAGACAAAACCCUAACCUAAAAUCCGUCACACAUAAACCCUAAAUCAGGCGGAACUUCAAAUCGAUGUAUCUCUCCAACCCCGAAGAUCCAGAAGACGAGCCACAUAUCAAAUUGAAGCUCUGGACGAGACGAAUCUAUCUGAGAAAACCGGUCGUCAUUCCGAUCUCAGACGCGCCCACACUCGCAGAAACAACAGACGGCGCCGACUUAGUUCUUUGGAAACCCUAAUCCGAACCAACAAGUUUUUCUAGCAAAUUUCAAAUCCUAUGAAAGAUAAGUUUGUCAUACCUCAGUUAUUUGAUGAUACCUUGUUUAGAUUAUGAUGUUUCAUGGAAUCUAAUACCCCUUUGUUUAAUUGUUUCAUGAGCUGAAGAGGAGUUAGUUCGAAGAACCCUAACCUGUUCUUGCUUGAGUUCUGGCUUGCAUACAUCCGAUCAGAUACAGCCCUAAGGUGUUCCUGAUCUCAGACGUCCUCAGCUCCCUGUUCAAAACAAGGCCAGUCCACGUUCCAAGUGAGACAGCUCGCGAUC
This 2718-nucleotide ribosomal RNA is filed under the name Brassica oleracea (wild cabbage). RNAcentral's name for it is "eukaryotic LSU rRNA". The stretch from base 346 to 1828 matches the Rfam family "Eukaryotic large subunit ribosomal RNA". The record is from RNAcentral. Lineage: Eukaryota; Viridiplantae; Streptophyta; Magnoliopsida; Brassicales; Brassicaceae.